This is a long non-coding RNA of Dendronephthya gigantea, 1015 nucleotides long. RefSeq lists it as uncharacterized. The transcript has 6 exons. Lineage: Eukaryota; Metazoa; Cnidaria; Anthozoa; Malacalcyonacea; Nephtheidae. The record is from RefSeq and is a predicted model, not a curated record.
ACCCGGCUUAGAAGCUAGACGUCCGCUUUACAUUAUUUAUGCCGGAUUCGCUUGUCAAGAUAUCGUCUUUCGCCGUUAUUUCUGUAAGGAGCGCGUGUAUAUAUGCAAGGUCCAAAUGAAAGGAAAAUUUCACGAAGACUCGUGCCAUGCAUCGCUGACCAUGAGCAUUGGAUUCAGUGAAAGUGCCAUCAAGUUCAACUCGAGAGAUUGAAAGUAAAUAACAGGACCGCAUUCUACCUCUGUACAUGUGUUAUCCUACUUGUAUCAGUAAACCAGCAGCAUUGGGUAUAAGACAAUUCAUACAAAUAUAAACUCUUCGUUUAAAUUGGUUUUAUUUAAAUAAAGAUGAUGAUUGAUGAAAAUAUCAAUAAAGGACCAUCAGAAGGGAGUCAGAAGUGGUAUUGGAAGGUGUUGCAUUUCCUGCCAACCCAGAGAAAGUUCCCUCAAGGCAUAGGAGACAGCCUCGUUGUAGCGUUGCCAUCCAUGGAGAUACUAAAACAUGUGAAGUUAUGAUUUAUAUCUACAUAAAUGCGUACCAAACAAAAGAUACAUCAAAACAAGAAAGAGGUCAACUGACAAUGUCUAUGAUGAAUGGGGGUAAUGUAGCAAACCUUCGAAGCGUCUCUUCCAACCCCGAGGACUAUAGGUGGCAAAAAAUAGAAAAAAGAACAAUGAAUAAAAAUCUUUGUUUACGAAAUGAAAGUCAAUAUUUACAUAUGGACUUUAAAUAUCCCGCGAGAAUUGACUAAGCUCGCGUGAAAAGGUGAUUUGCUUCAAUUCUAUUGGUCAAUUUAAAAAAAUAAUCGAAAUCUCGCGGGACAACCCGCAAUUACAUUCAUAAACAAAAGUUCGUAAAGCAACGUGUUAUAUUUAGAACUCAAGCGGAUGCUAAAAUUUUCGAGUUUUCUGUCAUUCAGUUUACUGGAAUGGGCUGACUUAAGAAUAUAUGUACAUACCGUCAUAGCAGUUUGCCUCUCCACAGUAUAGGCCCUCGAAAAAUCCGCUAACUGUAUUA